UUUUAUCAACUAGCAGUCUGUGUUACGUGAUAAUGCUGUAAAUUGAAUGUAUGUGGUGGUUUCCGUUUUAGACAUUUGCUUUGUUGUUGAGGAGAGAACGCAAGUACUCUAUGAAUAUUAUAAAAAUGUGCUGUUGCCCGUUGAGAUAACUAACUGUACAGAGGGGUUCACUAACUCUCUACUUCAGUAGCUAAUUAGCUAGCAAUGAGAUGAUCCUUGUUUCUUCAUAGAAACAACUACCAAGCUAGCUAGCGCUCUAAUUUAGCUAACUUUGAUUUUUGGUCAGUACUUACUUAAAGCAGCAGUUUCGAAACCUCGGGAAUUCACCUACUGCUUGGCUAAAAUAUACCCAUUUUCUGAGGCUCUCAACAAAAACGGCCUAAGUAUGGUGUGCGAACUUCUUCUCUCCUCCCUCUGGUUUCUUUUUGUCAUCUUCUGGGUGGAGACCAUCAGUGUGUGGCUCUUCCUCUGUAUCUUCUACCAGGAUAGAGCCUUCUACCACUGGGGUGAUGGGGUGUUUGCUGAUGAUCCUGGUCAAAUGUUCUACAUGUGGAGCAGGGCAGAGAGUUCUGGAAACAUGCAGACCUGAGGUUGAGAUAACCAGAGGGCUGGGAAUAUUGCCAAGUGGACCAAACUGAAGAGGAUAAAGUUGGGGAGUCAAUGCAUUUGUGGCUAACAAUUCUGUAAAAUAAAAAAAAGAGAGAAAAGAAAAGGAAAAAAAUCAGACCACCCAGAGCUUGUGAAGCAUCCUUCCUGUAGGAAGGGGUUUUAGACACGGACGGGACUGAGUGCAUGAGGAGGGGGUUUUUGAUGUGGUGUGGUUUAGCAGAAGGAUUAGAGUGGCUUUCUUUGUGCUGAGACCUAGGGGCUGAGGUGCCUGUAACCCUGAACUGACUGUAAUGUUUCCAUAGAAACCUUUUUUUUUCUUUUUUUUUCUUUUUUUAUUAAUGUCAACUCAGCCCCAAAAGCCAUGCAGCUGUAUAGGAAAACCAGUCUUAAGCUUCAGUGCAUACACUCACACACAUAUUUCCACUCUGUUUCUAAUACUUCAUCUGUUCAUCAUUUAUGAAAACGGUGGUCAGUUAUGACACAGCAAAUAUUCUACAUUUUUUCAGCUGUCUGUGCAACAUCACUUAGUCCCCUGCUGCAUUUUGUCCUUCUGUGUGUGUGUGUGUGUGUGUGUGAGUGUGAGAGAGCGCGCACGCGCGUGUGCAAGAGAGGGAAAGACAGAGUGUGAGCAUGGGUGUAUGUGUGUGUGUGUCAGGUGAUCACUAAUGGGGAUUUUGGUACUGCAGGUAUCUGUUCAGGGGGCAGACAUAAGCUAUUAUUUGUCAUAUUUUGUUUGGUGUCAUGAUUUGGUCUGGAGAUCCCUCAACAAAUAGCAUUUCUUUGGAACGCCACUGUGGGUCAGGAUGAUUUCUGCCCAUUCAGCGACUCUGAUGUCUGUCAUUUGUGCAAUGACUCAUACCUGUCGUGUGAUGAACCCUUAGAAAUUGCUGGCAGUUUUUCUUAGUUAUGCAUUUGAAUUUUGUAAGUUUAGGUUCUGUGGAUUAUCUUUUGGUUGAUUGGUGUGAUGGCAUUGAAGGUGAAUGAAUAUUUUAAUAUUUAAAUAUUUACCCAGAAAUGUU
Chanos chanos (milkfish) is the source of this 1628-nucleotide long non-coding RNA. RefSeq lists it as uncharacterized. The record is from RefSeq and is a predicted model, not a curated record. The transcript is spliced from 4 exons. NCBI's taxonomy places the organism in Eukaryota, Metazoa, Chordata, Actinopteri, Gonorynchiformes, Chanidae.